GAUGAACGCUGGCGGCGUGCCUAAUACAUGCAAGUCGAGCGAACAGACGAGGAGCUUGCUCCUCUGACGUUAGCGGCGGACGGGUGAGUAACACGUGGAUAACCUACCUAUAAGACUGGGAUAACUUCGGGAAACCGGAGCUAAUACCGGAUAACAUGUUGAACCGCAUGGUUCAACAGUGAAAGACGGUCUUGCUGUCGCUUAUAGAUGGACCCGCGCCGCAUUAGCUAGUUGGUAAGGUAACGGCUUACCAAGGCAACGAUGCGUAGCCGACCUGAGAGGGUGAUCGGCCACACUGGAACUGAGACACGGUCCAGACUCCUACGGGAGGCAGCAGUAGGGAAUCUUCCGCAAUGGGCGAAAGCCUGACGGAGCAACGCCGCGUGAGUGAAGAAGGUCUUCGGAUCGUAAAACUCUGUUAUUAGGGAAGAACAAAUGUGUAAGUAACUAUGCACGUCUUGACGGUACCUAAUCAGAAAGCCACGGCUAACUACGUG
This 497-nucleotide ribosomal RNA is filed under the name uncultured bacterium. RNAcentral describes it as "partial 16S ribosomal RNA". It matches the Rfam family "Bacterial small subunit ribosomal RNA", at positions 28 to 507 of the family's 1533-position model. The record is from RNAcentral.